RNAcentral lists this ribosomal RNA (497 nucleotides) under uncultured bacterium. RNAcentral's name for it is "partial 16S ribosomal RNA". It matches the Rfam family "Bacterial small subunit ribosomal RNA", at positions 28 to 507 of the family's 1533-position model. The record is from RNAcentral.
GACGAACGCUGGCGGCGUGCCUAAUACAUGCAAGUUGAGCGCUGAAGGUUGGUACUUGUACCGACUGGAUGAGCAGCGAACGGGUGAGUAACGCGUGGGGAAUCUGCCUUUGAGCGGGGGACAACAUUUGGAAACGAAUGCUAAUACCGCAUAAAAACUUUAAACACAAGUUUUAAGUUUGAAAGAUGCAAUUGCAUCACUCAAAGAUGAUCCCGCGUUGUAUUAGCUAGUUGGUGAGGUAAAGGCUCACCAAGGCGAUGAUACAUAGCCGACCUGAGAGGGAGAUCGGCCACAUUGGGACUGAGACACGGCCCAAACUCCUACGGGAGGCAGCAGGAGGGAAUCUUCGGCAAUGGACGAAAGUCUGACCGAGCAACGCCGCGUGAGUGAAGAAGGGUUUCGGACCGUAAAACUCUGUUGGUAGAGAAGAACGUUGGUGAGAGUGGAAAGCUCAUCAAGUGACGGUAACUACCCAGAAAGGGACGGCUAACUACGUG